UGAGCAACCUGCCCUUAGCUCUGGGAUAACCCCGGGAAACCGGGGCUAAUACCGGAUACGAGUCCGAGCGGCAUCACGCGGACUGGAAAGUUUUUCGGCUAAGGAUGGGCUCGCGGCCUAUCAGCUUGUUGGUGGGGUAAUGGCCUACCAAGGCGACGACGGGUAGCCGGCCUGAGAGGGCGACCGGCCACACUUGGACUGAGACACGGCCCAGACUCCUACGGGAGGCA
This 230-nucleotide ribosomal RNA is filed under the name uncultured bacterium. Its description in RNAcentral is "partial 16S ribosomal RNA". It matches the Rfam family "Bacterial small subunit ribosomal RNA", at positions 118 to 350 of the family's 1533-position model. The record is from RNAcentral.